UUUUUUAAAUAUUUCAUUAAAAUAGAACCAGGAUUACCAACAUUAUAUUCCCGUUCUUAUACGCCUAUUUACGAGACUUUGCGGGGUCUGUCGUCAACAUGUCAGACAGUAACUCAAAAUACUUAAACCGAUUUACAUGAGACUUUGGUGAAUUGGUUUACUAGUAUAUCUAUUAACGUGAGGUCCCGUUCAAAUUUAACAAAUUUAGAUUUUACAUUUCCGACAAAUUUGAAUUUAUUAAUUUAAAAGGGGGGAUUUUCCAGUUUUCGGAUGAUACCUAAAACACGCUUGCAACAACUUACAGGAAAUUUUUGUGAACGUUUAAUAAUGAUGUGAGGUUCUUUUCAAUUUAUAUGAAUUUUGAUAUUAUGUUUUCGAAUUAUGGGGUUGUAUUAAAAACAAACAGGGAGAUUUUGUAGUUAACUCAAAAAUGC
RNAcentral lists this long non-coding RNA (434 nucleotides) under Mytilus galloprovincialis (Mediterranean mussel). Lineage: Eukaryota; Metazoa; Mollusca; Bivalvia; Mytilida; Mytilidae. The record is from RNAcentral.